GCCCGGGUGGUGGAAUUGGUAGACACGCAGGACUUAAAAUCCUGUGGCUAGUAAUAGCUGUACGGGUUCAAGUCCCGUCCUGGGUA
This 86-nucleotide transfer RNA is filed under the name Bacteroidota bacterium. RNAcentral describes it as "Bacteroidetes bacterium tRNA-Leu". It matches the Rfam family "tRNA". From Rfam's summary of the family: Transfer RNA (tRNA) molecules are approximately 80 nucleotides in length. Their secondary structure includes four short double-helical elements and three loops (D, anti-codon, and T loops). The record is from RNAcentral. RNAcentral also lists the same sequence under 3 other names. Lineage: Bacteria; Pseudomonadati; Bacteroidota.